UUUAAAUUGCUGUAGUAUUUUGACUAUACAAAGGUAUUGUAAUAAGAUUUUAAUUGAAUGCUAAAAGAAUGGAAAUUUAAAAAAAAACUUUUUUAAAAAUAAAAAUUGAAUUUUUUUUAAUUUGUGCAAAAACAAUUAUAUUUAUUAAAGACAAGAAGACCCUAAGAAUUUAAGAUUUUACAAUUAAAAAGUUUUUUUUUUAAAAUCUUGAUUGGGGCGAUCAAAAAAUAUUAAUAACUUUUUAAAAUUUAAAUUGAUCUAUUAUUAAUAAACUAAUGAAUUAAAUACUCUAGGGAUAACAGCGUAAUAAUUUUUGAUAGAUCUUAUUGACAAAAUAGUUUGCGACCUCGAUGUUGGAUUAGGAUUCUUUUUUAAUGAAGAAGUUAAAAAAAGAAGUUUGUUCAACUUUUAAAUUCCUACAUGAUC
Molecule: ribosomal RNA, 426 nt
Filed under: Hyalomma rufipes
Lineage: Eukaryota; Metazoa; Arthropoda; Arachnida; Ixodida; Ixodidae
Description: partial large subunit ribosomal RNA
Source: RNAcentral